Molecule: non-coding RNA, 1162 nt
Organism: Coturnix japonica (Japanese quail)
Lineage: Eukaryota; Metazoa; Chordata; Aves; Galliformes; Phasianidae
Source: RefSeq, a predicted model, not a curated record
GAUAGUUAGUGUAAAUAAUGAGACAAUAACAGCAGAGCACAGAGAUACUUCCUGGAGGUUUAAUGCCUAGCCAGGAGGAACCAAUGCCCUGAACUGAUCUUGGUCAGUUAUUAAACGUCUUACUAUUGUCUAUAAAUAGACCAUUGUUGCUCUCGUUGUAUAACAAAAACAGAACAUUCGGAGCCCUUCGGCACAUGCCUUUGUUUCUGGGUCACAAUUACCACGUACAUCACGGACAAUAAGCGCUCACAACACUUCAGCCCUGAGAGAUUGGGAUCACUUCUCAAAAAUCCAUCGUUUCACAUCAGAAUUCCUCACUGUCUCACAAACCUCUCAUUCUGAAUGACCUGCUGCUUCCCUGGAAACAGGAACAAAGGGGCCUGAAGGAAGGGCUUUGUCCCAAGGUCCCAUUUCUGUCCCUCUGAGUAAUGUUACUGCAUUGGGGUCACCUGGAAUCACAGAGUUAUCUGGGUAUGUGGCUACCCCUGAGCUGGGUCCUGUGCUCCGGGAAAUGGGGAUGGGUAGAACGAUAGCAGAUGGGUCUAACAAAAGAAACAUCGGCAACGAUCUGAGGAGGAACGGUAAUCAAGUAAAUCUAACAAAAUCAAACACAACGAGAGACCACAAGAGUAUCCAAGGACAAUAUCUAUGCUAUGAUACUUGGAGUAUAAUGAGCACUGGAAGCAGACCCCAGGAAGUACAUCCCAGCCAUCUUGCAGCAACCUCAGAAACCAAUUUCUGGUGGUUGUGCAUAGAAUAUGUAAUCUCAAUUUGUGAUACAAAUCCCAACUCAUGUAGGAGAAGUACCCCAUCAAGAAAACUAGUCCAACUAGCCUGGACUGGAGUGCUGCUCAUGCUGAAUAACCUCUCCAACCUACAGAACACGCACCAGAGUUGAGAACAGACCAGAGAAAUGCAUUAGGUAUUUUUCAGAUUAAUAGACAGGCUAGAAGCAGAAUUUCACAAGUUGAAGGUACUUCUACAUGUGCCUUGAGCAAGGUUCAAUACACACUGGCUGCAAGACAAGUUAAGUUUCUGCCUAUGAAUUCUUGUCAGAAAUACAGGAUGUGCAAGGUUAGAUUUCACACCAUCUAACUCAGUAAGAUUUAAAUUCAAAUAUAGAUGUUCUCACUAGACAAAGUUCAGUUUACUGUUGAAUGUU